This is a non-coding RNA of Gossypium hirsutum (cotton), 107 nucleotides long. Lineage: Eukaryota; Viridiplantae; Streptophyta; Magnoliopsida; Malvales; Malvaceae. The record is from Rfam.
AGCCCAUGGUGAGGGCACCGUCUCAAUAGGUCUUUGUAGCUCUCCCAUGUAUCAUAUAAAGUCUCUAAAUCGACUUGAACAAAAGAAGAGAUAUCAUUCUUCAACUU